UACGAAGGAUCCAAGCGUUAUCCGGAUUUAUUGGGUUUAAAGGGUGCGUAGGCGGGCUAUUAAGUCAGUGGUGAAAGCCCCAAGCUUAACUUGGGAAUUGCCAUUGAUACUGAUGGUCUUGAGUACACUUGAAGUGGGCGGAAUGUGUCAUGUAGCGGUGAAAUGCUUAGAUAUGACACAGAACACCGAUUGCGAAGGCAGCUCACUAAAUUGUAACUGACGCUGAGGCACGAAAGCGUGGGGAUCAAACAGGAUUAGAUACCCUGGUAGUCCACGCCCUAAACGAUGAUUACUCGAUGUGUGCAAUACACCGUACGCGUCUGAGCGAAAGCAUUAAGUAAUCCACCUGGGGAGUACGACCGCAAGGUUGAA
Molecule: ribosomal RNA, 372 nt
Filed under: uncultured bacterium
Lineage: Bacteria
Description: bacterial SSU rRNA
Rfam family: Bacterial small subunit ribosomal RNA
Source: RNAcentral